CUAUUUAACUUGUAAUAGUCAGACAUUGAUGUGAUACAAAUGAAUAGCAUUUAUCAUUUGGGUAAGCACAUUCCUAUAACUGCAUAAAGUGACAUUAUCUUAUUGCAACAAUACUGUAAAAUGAUACAUCUCAUUAUCACAGUUAGUGUGAGGUUUAUGCUGUGUUUGACAUUUGACACUGUCCAGUGUUCACCAGAUCAUGUAUAUUGGAAGAUAUCAGUAAGUGCUGUCAGGGGUUGUCUGGAUUUCUUCCUGGUUUAUUUUGAGUUUGUUUUUUUUUUUUUCUUCUUUACUUUUUGAUCUUCCACCUCUUCUGUUUCCUUUUUUCUGUAAUUAUUUGUUUCUUCCUGCAUUGCUGAGGGAGGACUCUUCACCUUGGGAGCAGAUUUCUGCCUGUCCUUAAGAGGAGACUCAAAGGAAGAGGGAAUAUUUCUGAAAGGUUUCAUGUGGGGUUUUGUUUUGGAAGAAGCAAUGAACACUUGGUCUCUUUCCAACUUCUCUACACCACUCAUGAUUUUGCACAUCUUUUUAGUCAUCUCUUUUUCAGAUUAGAGAAAAAAAAUAUGUAUUGGGCAAGUUUAAGAAAAAAACAAAGCAAUUUUUAAGACUUUGAGAAAACACUACAGCUUAUGAAAGUGACCAUCCAUUCUGCAGAAUGAAGGGCAGUAUUCUGCUUUCCUCCAGGAUCAAUAGAUGGCUGAGAUGUCUGAUUUUGUUUGUUAUGCCUUAUCAUCACUUGCAAGGUAAGUAUGAUGGGGUUUGCAGGCUGUUCUGCAGGCAAACAGCACCUAUCGUAGGUAACAGACAUUUUGUUCCCUGUUUAAUAACUUUAAUAACAGUGAAACAGCUGCAGUAAUAAAUAGUUAACAGAAAAUAACAGUUAACAGAAAAAGACUUUUCAAUAUUAUUAUCAGUCACAAUGGAAGUAACAAAAUUCCAUCUGCAAUCACACAACAUCAGCUGGAAAUAAUCAGAAGAAUUCCACUGGCAACGCACUAAUCUUGGAAAAAUCCAGCCAUCAAUUUAGAUAAGGGAUUUUUAUUUCUUUUGGGUACUUCAGGAUAGAUUAGAUCACAUCAAGGGAAAAAUACCAUGAUUCUGGCUUUUGUCUUUUGUAUUAGAAGCAAUUGGCUUGCUUUGCCAGGUGGAUGAGGCUGGGUGGGAUCUGUGGAGGUCACAAGGCACAGUUUCCCAGAGCAGGUUGCCCAGGACCCCAUCCCAUCAGGUUUGGAAUACUUCCAAGGAUGGAGCCUCCACAACCUCUCUGGGCAACCUGUUCUAGUGAUCACCUUCACAUAAAUAAGUAUUUUCUUACAUUUAGCUGGAGUUUCCUGUGUUUUAAUAUGCAUCUUGUCCUGCCUGGAUACCCCUGAGAAGAGAGUGGCAGUUUUCUUUGCUGAAGGUCAGCCUGAAGUGAAGGCAUCAAGUACUUUGCUCCUUUCUGUGUCCUCUGCCAUCAGGUCCCCAUCCCACUCAGGAGCAGCCCCACAUUUUCCCUGGACUUCCUUUUGCUGCUGAUUUACUUGUAGAAACCCAUCUUUUUGCACCUCACAUCUCUCAGUAAUUGGACUCCCGAUGGGUCUCAGUUUAAAUGUAACAGAUGAGUUUAGAUUUAGCUAAUUGCAAAUUAGUCUGGCUCUAGCAGAGGUUUCAAGGCUGAGUUCUACAGACGUUACUUGAAGAACCAGGAGUUUAAGAAAAGUAGAAUUCCAUUCCCAAACCAACACAAUUUUUGCUUUGGACCUCAGUUUUCCAGAAUGUUGGAAAUCUUAUUUUCAAACUAAUUCUUGCCAGCAAAGAAAAUCAAACUCUGCUGGCCUUGGUAUAUCUUUACACUGCAUUUAGGAAUGGAGUGGCCCAUAUGAAAAUGGAAGUAACUUGUUAUAUUGUUCCAAAUGUCUGCCUUUGGGUUUUGCCCUUUUCUGUCCUUAAAAGAAUGUUUUCCUGAGGAAACAAAAUCUCUUUGUUGCUCAGCUUAGCUGGAGCUCAUGUGACACCAGUAGCUUCUUAGAAUUAGCUAGUGGUUAAUAUACACUUUGGUAAUUAUAGAUAUUUAAUUUAUUUCUGAGCAGGUGGUAAAAAAUAUUUUGUCUAGAUGGUUCAGUCCUCUAAAAGCACUAGUUUAGAAAAUUUCUUUGCCUGACAAAUCCCUCUGACACCUUCUACAGCACUGAAAAAUCACUAUUGACCACAAUAUAGAUCUAAAGUCUGUGUAUUUCACAGUUAAAAUACACCAAACAUUUAAGAGUUUAAGAAAUCUUUCUGUUUUUCCUCUGUGACUAUUUCUUCAUUUGGAUGUACUCACUUCCCCCCACUGAGUCACUGCCUUUGGAUCAUCAAACAAUCUAUAAUCUGUGUUUUACAGAAAGGUUUUCAAAAAAUAAUAAUCUACUCCCCAACGCAAAUGAAGCGAACAAUGAUGAAUUGGGCUCACAGUCAAUUAAAAGUUUAAGCAAAUGCUCAAACAUUUUACCAUAUGGAAGCACUUCAGAGCAAGAACUCAAAAUUAACCCUGUAUGGGAUUUACAUGCUGAACUGGGAAGGCAGGUCAUGUGAGCACCCAGAAAUCAAGUGUAACACUUGUAUUUCCUGACUGAUCCAUUGUCCUCUUUUAUGGCAAUAUUAAGGAAGAUGAGACUAGGAAAUGCAGUCCUCCACCUUUGAUCUGCAGGCAGAGAGAUUCCCACCCAUACACAGGAUUUACUUGCACCUUGUAGUCUUUUGAUAACGUGCAUGAAAAAUCUUCUGUACCAUAUGUGUGAAAUGAGAGGCAGAAAUGACCUUUUACCACGAUUUCCAUGGUGACAGUCCUCAUUUUGAUGUCAUUAAACUGCUCACUGAUAUUAUACAAGGGACAUCUGGAGUGGACAUGAUGUAAUAAGUAAAAAAGCAGAAGAAAGGGACACUUUGUUGAAGGUUGUGCUUUAAAUUUUUGAGACACAUCUGCUUUAGAAAGGCUUUGCAGUGCCAUUGUCUCACAGGGCAAACAGCAUGUGGGCAAAGCAGGUACUUACAGCCUGGGCUCUUGACUUGCUGUGAGGAGAUGUCUUCCAUUCUUAAUCUUUGAAAUUCAUUCAGUGUGUCCUGGAUAUGAGAAGAAAAGAAACGGUGCACCAUUUCUUUCAAAACUGUUUUUAUUUUGGAAGUAUACACAUAUCUGUUUAUUUGUAGAUAUCCUACAUCAUUCACAUUAGCAAUGACUGAAAUUCUCUUCUUUUAUCCCUAAUAUAUAGGGCUUAAACAGUCUUGUUAUGCUGCUGUGAGCUACUGAGCUGUAUUUGCCACAUUUGUUAAGACCGACAUCCCAUAAAUAAAAGAUCUAAGAAUUCAGCUUAUCUGCUUUUGAGAGGCACGAAUAUGUUCACAUAUUGUAUGAGCUAAAGGAAUCUGGGCUCCUUUGGUGGAAGAAAACCAGGUUAUAAUUGGUAGCAGCAAACUGUGUGAUCAUUAAGAAAAUGUACACUAUGUGUGUUGACUUUCAAUAAACAGGAGCAAUGGCCUAUUCUCUGUUUAGCAGAAGACACUUCAGUAAGUAUUUUAUAUAUAUAUAUAUUUUUUUAAACAUUCUGUUUUAUUAGUACUAGGAAUGUAAUAAUAACAGAUAUCAGAACUCCAGUGUUACCAAUGAAAUGUCAUAUUUAAUGAUAUUUAAUAUUUGUUGGCUUUUGCAGAAAACAAAAAUUAAAAGGAGAAAUGGUUGCUUAGUAAACAAUUACAUAUUCCAUUUGUAACUAUUAAUAAUUUUGCACCUGUGCUCCUCUUUUUUAUUUUAUUUUUGCUCAAAUUGUUCUCAUGGAAGGUGCCUGCUCUUCUCCCAGACUGAUGCAUUUGCUCACAUGUGCACGCUGAUGAUUUCACCCAAGUCAGCAUUGUUUCUAGAACUGACAAACCUGGAACCAAAGCACAUGUCUCAAUGGGUAAGCAAAUCUGAUAGACUAUUUCUAAGUGUAAUAUCUGACAGAAUAACUGGGAUCUACUCUGUUGUCAUUGACUUAACUAGUCCUUACAAGCAUGACAGGUAUAGUGGGAAAGCUGUUUUCCUUAGGGAUGAUUGUUCUGUCCAACACUAGCAUUGCUCACAUUUUGGUGACAUCAUUCAUUAUACAUUUGGAGCAGUCUUACAUUCCUGAUUAAAGUACAUAAAAGUUCACUGAAAUUCUCAAAAAAAUUAUUGUUUCAUUCAGCCCCAGUGCCAUGGGCAUCACAAUCACUUAAAUAUUUUUUUUUUGAGUGUUUGCUUGAUUGUAUUUCACAUUAGCCUGACCUAAUUUACCCACAUCUCAAAGGCCAUGCCAGGUUUCAUUCCCUGUGAGUCAGUAUAGCCUCUUGGAGAGCCUGGGGAUAUAUCCAGAUCCAGUGGAAGCAGCUACAGCCUUGUUUUAUUACUGCUGGAAUUUGACCUAUAAGAAAAAACUUUGCUUCCAUUUUUAUCCUGCUGAAGCUAUUUCUUAAGCCAAGAAACCUAAAUUCUGGAUUUCCCUAUAUUUUUUCUAAAACAAACAAGCAAACAAACAAACUCCAACAAAACACAUACACAAUUUCCACCCCCCUCCACCCAGCAAAAUACUGUCCAUGACUACUGGUAUAAAUCUUGUUCAUGUCUCUCACUUUUACUUCCUGUUUGGAGCUGUCCUUGAUGUACUUUUUUUCCCCAAAGAAAAGUUUUAUAAUCAUCUUUUUUUUUUAUAAAGGGAGAAUCUGGAAAGUCUUCGAAGAAAUAAAAUUGCAGCAUCCCCAUUAUAAUUUCUUCAGAAUUUGGAUUCUGGUGUUUAGGUAGUUCCCAUUUUAGUUUUCUCUUUCAGGGUGUAACUCUUUCAGGUGGAACUUGACAUCCCUUCUGAAAUGGCAUUUGUGACUGCAGUGUUCAACCAUCAUGAAAGGCACUUUGGUCUGCAGCAGCUGCCCUUUGGGACUGAAAACCUUUUCAGGCUUCUCUAAUCCUGCUCAGAUGCAGGAACAUACCAGGAGAAUCCAACAAGACUCUGACAUCAGACCAGUUUUGACAGUUUUAUACAGUUUACUUACAUUAGGAAUUUAAAAAAAGGUCAAAUGCAAAUGUUUUAAACCUGUAGCUCUCCCUGCUGAAUCACUGCAGUGCUUCAUUUGGAUAGCAGGAUGUGAACCUGCAUGGAGAGGGUGAUGGCCAAUUAAGGAUGGAAAGAAAGGCACAGAGGCAAGUCUUGUAUGAGGCUGGGUAAUACUCAUGAAAAAGUCUGCUGGCAGAGUUAUAUCAGUAAAUGAACAUUUUGGCUAGAACUGGUUCAUCAGGCAAAGUCAGCUGUGCUAACAAAGGCAGUUUGAUACCAGCCUUGUUGUGUCCAUGCUGGAAGGACAGUGGAGGAUUAAUUAAAAGGAAAAAGAAAAAUAGAAUUCACUAGUGUUUCUAAGUUAGAACUAUUUUUGCAGUGAAUUUAAAUUCAGGUUGAUUUUUUGCUAAAUUACUACUACUAGGAUUUCUAUUUUCUGGUUUUUCAUUUCCUCUUUCUAGUCAUGAUUUGCAUUCUGCUGACCCCCUUAAAUCCAUGUUUUAAAUUAUUUCUAUCAAACUAUCUCACCUUGGUAUUAUAAUAUUAAUAUGCUUUGGUUUUUUUCAACUUGGCAGUCUUGUUCAAAAAUGCACAUAAUUUGUAUUCAGGUAGGACUUUAUUUGCAUGAAGAAGUUCAAGCACAGCAGCUCCUCUAUUUUCCCUGGAACGUUUUUCACAUUUGAAACAUGUAACUAUUCCAGAUCAGCUUUUCCAUAGCUCAUGUUCUCUGUGGUCAAGUGUAUUCUGCUGCCUGGUUCUGUAGUGAUGAUCAGCUGCCAGAGAGAUUACGAGAUACAUUUGUGGCUCAGAAAAUUACCAGUGUCACCUCAGUGUGCAGCUGGAAUGGUCACCCUCUGAGUCUCAACAAGAACCACGUGUCCCUGCGGGGAGCCCCUGGGAGUAACCAGAACUGCUCAUCACCACCGCCCCCGGUGGACAAUCCCUCCAGGUUCUCCUCUCCUGCUGGGCUCCACAGCAUCCCUUUGGGCUGCUCCAGGCACCACCACAGCCUGCCAGAGCCUCCAGAAAGCUGCUUCCCGGGGAGGCACUCGGUGCUCUGGCUCUAAAAGUUCCCUUAACAGUGAAUGUGUGGGAAUGCUGCCUGUCCAUGCUACCUUUAAAUAACUGGGUGCAUGCAGUUUGGGUGUUAGUAAAAAAUAUUGGUACUUCAGGCAAUUUUUCAAAUUUAUUAGGAGAAGUAAUGGCUCCAUUUAUAAUGGCAGUGCAACACAGUAUGUGACUGUGUUGGAGGGACUAAACCUUCAUCCUGAUAAAUUAUACAAUUAUGCUUUGAAAUGCAUUUACUUGUUUUGAAACAUUAUUUCUCUGUGGUUUUCAAAAAAAUAUUUUCUGCUUCUGAAAACAAACAAGUUACUGGUAACAGGGUUCAUUUUUUAUAAAACUGUUUUGUUUCUAUUGAAACAGAAUGUAUUUGGGAGACAAAUUUUCUUAAUUUGCUAACUAAUGAUGUCAUUCCUUUUUUUUUUUUAGAGAUAAUUCUAACACCUUAAUAACCCUGUAGGAUACUUAUUAAAAUAUAAGAGAUUAAAUUGUAAUGAGCUACACUACAGCCCACUUCUUGAAAGAGCUCCCAGGAAGGGAUUGCUAUAGGGAAAAAGAAUAAAUUCAUUUUCCAACCUAUAACAAAAGGCAGCAUAGAGGACAUAGCACAGAGCUGUAACAUCUACUUGAAUAACCAUAAAUUAAGUGGUGUUUUAGCCAGCCAGUUAUCCCUCAGACUGCUAUGCAUGAGCAGGCAGAAAGUCUUCAUUUUCCGUGGAAUGGGUGAUUUGGAGACUUUGCAAUAUAUCAGCUUUAACUGUGCUACUUCUUGUACAUGGAUUGGGAUUCGCUGUCUUAAAGGACAUUUUGUAUCCACAAUAAAUAAUUCACUCUCAGUCAAAAUAAGAAGAGUUUUGGAGGGAGUUCAAUAUGAGCAGAAUAGAGCUCCUAAUACAAUUAUUGGCCACCUUGAGAGGGGGAAUAAAAACAAACCUGGUUCCUACAGGUCAAGAAUUACCUGUGGAUUAUGGAUGACUAAUAAAAAGAUUUACACAAAGAUUUACUCUUUCUGAUUUGGGCACAUUAAGAAAAGCUAUUAACAUACUAGCAACUGAAAACAGUGUAAAGCAUUAAAGCUAAUGGUGAUGAGCACUAUAAAAAAAUGAAAGUCAGAAUUAAAACAUCUUGUAAGAAUUGUGAUGUAAAACUCCUGCUUUUUUUGUGCAUCAUAUACUGUGUCACUGCUACAGUAACACACCAUUUACAAAGCAAUUAAUUCCAGUUGAUGGAGAGGAUAUUUUAAUUACCAGGCUAAAGGCUGAGUAUUAUUAUAUAUAAAACCAUAAAAUUAUUUUUAAUUUUAUCUCCUACAGAACCUGAACUCUCAAAUUUGGAACUAAUUUUUGCCAAGUGAUACAACAUAAUUAAACUGAAAACAAUACACACAGUGUUAUGAUACCCAGGUGAUAAAAGGUAAAGCAGUUCUUUUUAUCCUAGUACUGUUCUCUCCUCACACCAAACAAUUUAGAACAACUUAGUUGAGAGGAAAGUAGUGAGGUGGAUACAGCAUGUAUUGCAUUAAGAUGAAGGAAAAAGAUAAGGAAAAUGUAGAUAUAUUUGUGCAGUGCUGGAAGCAUUACAAGAAAAGGAGCAGGAGCAUGUGUUGUAUUUACAGGGGAUAAAAAUACAGAGUGCUACUAAUGGAAAGAAGAGCAAUAAACAACAUGAACUGUUAGGUGAGGCAAAUAAAAUGCAGGAGAAGACAAAAGAGUGAAGUAAAAUCACCCAGAAAAUCACCUGGAAAAUAACCAUGCCAUUGCUUCAGCAAAGUUAAGAGACACCCUCCACCCCAGACUUUUUUUGGGGUUGGACUCCAAGCAAGUACAAAGAUACAGUUCUUUGCCUAAAAGCCAUGGAAUCCCAACAUGAGAUCCAAGGCAACAGGCAGGGGGAAUGUAGUGCAAGGAAGGUGCAGCGUGUGGGGAUCCCCUUGCUCAGCUUUAGGAAUUGUGGGACAUCGGUGCAUUGAACUGAAAUCCCUUGGACUAUUUCUUUAAACCUUAAUUCUAGAUGAAAGUGUAAGAAGGGUGGUGAUAAACUUCAGCAAAUCCAGCAGAGGCUGGGGCAGGUUCCCUGGUGAGGCUGUGGAUCAGCUAUCCCUGGAGGUGUUCAGCACCUGCUUUGGACUAGAGAUCUCCUGUGGGCCCUGGAGCCACGGUGAGUCCGGGAUUCCUUCAUAAAGCCAAACCAAACAAAAUAACUGAAUAAAGGAGAGAGGUGGAAAAGCGGGCUUGGAAAAUUAAUUCAGUUAUUUCUUGUUAUGUAUAAACCAAACAUAUGUUUUGUAGUGGUAUAAUUCCACUGGUUUUGGUGAUGCAUGAUACCUGUUCAAACAAAAAUAGUAAGAUGUAUAAAGUGUACAUUCAAAACAGCCUCGCUUGUCAUCAAUAACUGUUUUGUACCAGCUUUCACUGUAUGUGAUUCUAAAAAUUCGACUUGUCUCUCCAAUUCUUUAUUAUUAACCAUUUAUCUACUCUCUCUACUCAGUCUUUCAACUCUCAAGCAUAUCCCUUGGCUUUUUUUUUUUCCUGUCUGGCUACAAAGUUGUUGUGAAGACAAAACAGAAUAACGACAGUGGAUGUCCCCUCUGGUGAGAUCUAGAUUUCCUCAGUGCAGAAUGUCUGACCUUCUUUCAUUCUUGACACUUGAGAGCUUUCUUUAUUAAUGUCAUUCCAGCCUAAUUUUAUACAGUCAGCAUGUUAGAUGUCUUGUAGAAGUACUCCCAUCUUUUAUUGUUUUUAGCAACCAAUUAAUUCCCAGCCUGACUAGUCCCAGUUGCUCGGCACUGUACUGGGGAUUUGGCACAGCAUGUUGGAAUAAAUCUCUCGCCUUCUGCCCCUUGCAGUCUCAAAAUACAAAUCCAAGCAGAGAUGUAGAUGUGUGCAGGGAUGAGGGAAGAACCAAAACAAGAAAAUGCAUCUGUUUGCCUCUUUUUAUGGUCAGCCUGCUUGAACCUUUCCAAUGCCAGGUUUUUGUUUCCCUGGAAAUAAAAGAAGCAAUCAUUUAAGAAAUUUUAUAAUUAGGAAAUAUUUUUACUACUACUGCAUUUUUGCUACUACACUGUGCUUUGCUCUGCUUGAUGUGAUCACAUUUAAUUAUCUUCUGUCCUUGCAAAGCCACUUGAUGAUGUGACUCUGCUGCUGCUGAGAAGGUUGAGCAGAGCCCACUGAGGUCAAGUUCCCAGCAGUCACCGAGUAUGUCACUGUUACUUUCAUCUACUUCAAGCUUGAGCACAUGGUUAAGUCCUGCUUUUUUCUUUUUUUUUUUUUUAACUCUGUUCCUCUGUAUUGAGGUCACUUUGACUGUUUCAUUCUGUUUGUGCUCUCAAUCUCUAAUUUUUGCCGAGGACACUGUAAGCUGAGCAGGAAUUCCACAUUUUCAAGUGGCGUACUGAGAAGUAAUUUCCUACCUAAAAGUUUUCCCCUCUAUCAAGUGCUUUGUGGAAUGCAUCUUAGUUCAUUCUCAUACAGAAUGACUGAGACUAAAAGGGGUGGCUUCUGUUUCCAGCAGACACUGGCAGAGGCCUGAAAGGGUUUGUGUGAGCCCCACAGUCACACCUAUAAACACCUGAGGUGUGGCAAACUCCCGGGCACCUGGGACCAGGGAGCCAGUGUGGCAUUCCACUCCCUUCUCCACUGAGUCAUCUCCAAGGUGGGACACUUCUCUUUUCUCCCUCUUUUCCUCUCUGAGCCAGGAAUAGUUCCAGGAGCAGAAGACAGUUUCAGUCUGGAUCAACUGCUGGUUUUUUUAGCUUCUAUUUUUAUCUCUUCCAUAUGAUGCUGAUCCCAGAGAAGAGCCUAAGUUGAACAUUCCUAUCUUUUUUUCUGUGUCUUCUGCCACACAUAAAAAUUCAGGUCUGUGGGUUCUUCUGGAAACUCUGAAAAGCUCUUUCUCCUUUGCCUUUGCAAACAUGGAUUUUGACCACAGUAACCACUGCAGUAAUUAAAACAAGCAUCAGUCUCACACCAGGUACAUAAUAACAUCCAAUACUUCUGAACUGUAAUUAAGUUUGGGGAAAAUGCUCCACUCAUUUACAUCACCAGACUGAACUGUAUUAGGAUACCACUAUGCUGGAACAGUGUUUUCCAAAAUAGUUGACUUAAAAUAGGUCUGACUUCAAAGGAUCUUCAGAUUUCUCUUCUAAAAGUUUGCAAUUAUCUAACAAAUCAAAAUAAGACAAGUCUGUAUCAAAAUAUUAGAAAAUAAGUUUCAGUUAUCAUGAGUCAAUAAUAUGUAUACAUCAGAUAAUUUGAAUAAUUGUAUCAAAUUAUUUGUUUUCUCUGCUUAAUAUAUUAUUUACUAUAAAAAAAUGACUGUACCUAGAUACAAGUAUAACCUUAGUGGUUAAACUGAAACACUGUGCAUCUGAUAACUCAUGAAAUAGUAGAAUCAUAGAAUCACAUUAACAAACAUAGCAGCAGUACAGAAACAUUAAUUCUUCCCUUUGUUUGAAUAGCUUAUCACAUUACUCGAUGGACCAAAAGGUAUUUCCCUGACAAAAUGGAUUCAAAUCAUAAAGCUGUAACAGGAGUGUAUUGCCUUUCAUCCUCCUCUCCACUCACCCAGUUGGACAAACGGGGCUGGCAGUGACUUGUUUCCUCUUUAGUGCGUUUGCCCGAGGCAACAAACCCAAGAAAUUGCAGGUAACAGUUUAUCAAAUGCUUGUAGUCAGUUGACUCCCUCUCCCCCUGUCACUCGGCAUCAUUUUAUUAGCAGAGCCUUGACCCAGGUGUGCCAGAGGCUUGGAAGUUCAGAAGGUGGGAUGCAGCUGUCACAUGAGAGAUGGAUGAUGUGCAUUUUGUGUUUUCAAUGCACAUUAGAGUAUCCGAGAGCGAGCCUGCUAAUGAAAGCUGACAUCUCACCAACGACACCGUGGAAGCCUUGGGAGGAGAACUGGGAGCAGUUUCAGCAUGUGAAAGGAAGGGACAGGAGGAGAGACUGGGGCUGUAGGUUUGCUUUUGAAUUUCCUGCAGUGGAAACGUGCACGGCACAGGGCUUAUCAAAAUCAACAGGGCUGUCCACAGCACACAGUUUGCUACACGGGCAAGGUUUGAGAGAAUAAUGGCAGUUUGAAUCCAUUUUUUAUAAAUGUAGAUAAUUUUUAAACACAUUUUAAAUUAUUAUGUUACUCUGUUAUUGGUGUAAUAAGUCAAUUUUGUUUAAUGGCUGCAGAAAUUAUACAUUUAAAAACAUACCAUCACAUGCACGAGGAAGGAAGUUUCUCUUAACGUGUAAAACUGUCCAUAAUUUUUUUUUUUUUUUUUAGUGAGAUAGAAACUGAGGAAAUAAUCUAAAUAUAGAUUUGCAUUUAAAAUUAAAAUGCAAUUAAAUUUUGCAUUUAAAUUAUCGAUAAAAUUUGUAUUUAUAAUAUGAAAAUUCAAAAUAUUUAAAUGCUUUUAAGACAUCUUAAUUUCACCUUUACCCUUUUCACUGUAUUCAAGGAAUAACUGAAUAAUCAGUGUAAAUAACAACUAAAUGACUGUUUUACAUUGUAAAUAAUGAGAAGAGCUGCUUGCUGUCAUUUUCAUAUAAAUGUUAUUCUUGUUAAAUUUCAAGGCUUUUCUCACAAAAUUGCUCCAUUUUGCUGUUUGUCAUCCACAAAUGCUGGCCCUGACUCUGCACCGUGUUGUGGUUGUGAAGGUGGCACCAGUUUGCCACCUCUGAGUGCCUUUUCCUCUUUGGCACAGAAUUUUCCCAAUGUUUUUAAGACAAUCAAGACCCGGAACCACUGAUUCCAUUCCCAUCCUCUCCAUUUCUCCAGCAGCUGACAUUUUGAUCCUUUCCUUAAGAUCUGUGUCUCAGACUGGCUCUCUCCUCCCUCUCUCCUGGUGUCCAUGUAUCCCACAGCACAGCUGAUCCCCAUGGAGCCGCUGCUCACCCCGUGGCCACCACGUGCCUCCUCCAGGGCCUUGGAUCGGCUCAGCUUUGCUCUGCUGUGGGCAGGAUCUGCAGUGCCACUGCCUUUAUUUUGGUCAGGAUGCUUGAUAGCUGUGCAAAUGCUCUACGUAGCUGCCUUAAUGCUGGUUUGGUUGGAUGAUCCAGCAGUUUGGAUCAAGCCUCCAGCUCUCCUUUGGUACAUUUAUUCACUUCUAUAGCGUAGUAUUUGCUCUCAUAUUAAUUUACAUUUCCUAUUAUAUCUCUGAUGGGAACUCUUGAACCAGUCAUUACUUUAUCCAUAUGUUAAAUGUUCAUUUUACAACUAUUAGUAUUCUGCCAGGGUAUGUAUCUCUUAAAUGCUAAUUUUGGACAUUUCCCAGUUCUCCUGUCUUCCUCUGUACAACGUCCCCAGUGUGCUCAGUAGUCCUUGGAUGGGCUAAAUAAACCCAACUCAUUAGACAAACACAAACUUCCUGCUGGUCCCAUUUUCAUGCCCAUUGUUUCAGCAGAACAUUUUUAAGCCCUUCUGAGCAUUGCUUUAGCCUGCCACGUGUACAGCUUUCUCAGAAGAUAAUCUAGUUUUUGCAGCCUGAUUGCUCUUCAUCCAAGUACUAAAAUGCUGCUUUUUAGGUAAAUCUUCCCACCACACGUGAUGCUGCUGAUCAUUUUUUCUGGCUUCAGGCCUCCAGAAUCAACAAGUGUAAGAAGUGAAGGACAGGUCGUCCUCAUAUCAGUCAGUACCAUGAUUUGUUACUGCUUUGGUGGGAUCAAUUGUAUCCCCAGCAUCUGAGAUAAAAAAUAUAAAAUGCAUCAAUAAUUUUCUUGCCGGAAGUUGUAACAUUUGAACAUUUCUGUUUUUAUGUUGAAUAAAGUUUUAUUCCUGCCUUUUA
This is a long non-coding RNA of Pseudopipra pipra, 12856 nucleotides long. RefSeq lists it as uncharacterized. The transcript has 4 exons. The record is from RefSeq and is a predicted model, not a curated record. NCBI's taxonomy places the organism in Eukaryota, Metazoa, Chordata, Aves, Passeriformes, Pipridae.